RNAcentral lists this ribosomal RNA (254 nucleotides) under uncultured bacterium. RNAcentral describes it as "partial 16S ribosomal RNA". It matches the Rfam family "Bacterial small subunit ribosomal RNA", at positions 524 to 776 of the family's 1533-position model. The record is from RNAcentral.
UACGGAGGGUGCAAGCGUUAUCCGGAAUCACUGGGUUUAAAGGGUGCGUAGGCUGUUUGAUAAGUCAGUUGUGAAAUACCCCGGCUUAACCGGCGGUCGUGCGAUUGAUACUGUUAGACUUGAAUCAGGUUGAGGUAGGCGGAAUGUGGCAUGUAGCGGUGAAAUGCAUAGAUAUGCCAUAGAACACCGAUUGCGAAGGCAGCUUGCUGGACCUAGAUUGACGCUGAGGCACGAAAGCGUGGGGAGCAAACAGG